GAUGAACGCUGGCGGCGUGCCUAAUACAUGCCAGUCGAGCGAACAGACGAGGAGCUUGCUCCUCUGACGUUAGCGGCGGACGGGUGAGUAACACGUGGAUAACCUACCUAUAAGACUGGGAUAACUUCGGGAAACCGGAGCUAAUACCGGAUAAUAUAUUGAACCGCAUGGUUCAAUAGUGAAUGACGGUUUUGCUGUCACUUAUAGAUGGAUCCGCGCCGCAUUAGCUAGUUGGUAAGGUAACGGCUUACCAAGGCAACGAUGCGUAGCCGACCUGAGAGGGUGAUCGGCCACACUGGAACUGAGACACGGUCCAGACUCCUACGGGAGGCAGCAGUAGGGAAUCUUCCGCAAUGGGCGAAAGCCUGACGGAGCAACGCCGCGUGAGUGAUGAAGGUCUUCGGAUCGUAAAACUCUGUUAUUAGGGAAGAACAAAUGUGUAAGUAACUAUGCACGUCUUGACGGUACCUAAUCAGAAAGCAACGGCUAACUACGUG
Molecule: ribosomal RNA, 497 nt
Filed under: uncultured bacterium
Lineage: Bacteria
Description: partial 16S ribosomal RNA
Rfam family: Bacterial small subunit ribosomal RNA
Source: RNAcentral